CCUACGGGUGGCAGCAGUGAGGAAUAUUGGUCAAUGGACGAGAGUCUGAACCAGCCAAGUAGCGUGAAGGAUGACUGCCCUAUGGGUUGUAAACUUCUUUUAUAAAGGAAUAAAACGAGGCACGUGUGCCUUUUUGCAUGUACUUUAUGAAUAAGGAUCGGCUAACUCCGGGCCAGCAGCCGCGGUAAUACGGAGGAUCCGAGCGUUAUCCGGAUUUAUUGGGUUUAACGGGAGCGUAGAUGGGUUGUUAAGUCAGUUGUGAAAGUUUGCGGCUCAACCGUAAAAUUGCAAUUGAUACUGGCAGUCUUGAGUACAGUUGAGGUAGGCGGAAUUCGUGGUGUAGCGGUGAAAUGCUUAGAUAUCACGAAGAACCCCGAUUGCGAAGGCAGCUUACUAAACUGUGACUGACAUUGAUGCUCGAAAGUGUGGGUAUCGAACAGGAUUAGAUACCCUGGUAGUC
RNAcentral lists this ribosomal RNA (460 nucleotides) under uncultured bacterium. RNAcentral's name for it is "partial 16S ribosomal RNA". It matches the Rfam family "Bacterial small subunit ribosomal RNA", at positions 338 to 795 of the family's 1533-position model. The record is from RNAcentral.